This 681-nucleotide long non-coding RNA is filed under the name Sarcophilus harrisii (Tasmanian devil). RNAcentral's name for it is "lncRNA (ENSSHAG00000023444.1)". The record is from RNAcentral. Lineage: Eukaryota; Metazoa; Chordata; Mammalia; Dasyuromorphia; Dasyuridae.
CCCCUCCUCUCACCAAAAUCUGGAAGUUUCCCAGAGACACUGAUUUGGAUGAGAGCAAGCAAUCUGGGCAGGAUUUUCUCUGGUCUUGCUAGCAGGCCCACUGAUUUGGCAGAUGGAAAGAAGGAAGCUUCAUUGGGCAAUCUCUAAAACACAAGGAAACUUAGAUGAAGAGAAAAUCAAGACCUAUAAAAGAGGAGAGACUGUUCCCAAUGGACAUCAAGGAGAAAAGAGGUACCUCUUGAACCCUUAAGUCACACACAAAAGAACAUCUGGAAGAAAAACUCAAGAUCAACUAGAGGCAGCCCCAGCAUGGGACAGAAGAUGAUGCUAUUGGUAACAGCUGCCACAUCCUCAUCCCCACUGCUCAACUAUCAUGCCUUCCUUAUUGUGGUAACAUUAGGACUAGUUCCAGAAAGAGAUUCUGGGCUCAAGUUGGAGAGAAGCACCCAGAGGGGAUCUCGUCUAGACUGAGUCACAGUCUUUUAAACUCAGUGCUGCCCAGCUGUAGAUGAAAUCCUAUAUGAAGUCAAAUCAGUCUGUCUUUCUUUCUGUCACUGUAGCUUAUAUACAUUUUGCUGCAAAAAUAAUACAAUCUAUUUUCUUUGAAAAAAUUCAUUUCUUUGUUAUUUUUUUACUACUUACAAAGCCUAAUUAGGUUCUGAAGCAGUUUUUGCAAAACCC